RNAcentral lists this long non-coding RNA (595 nucleotides) under Helianthus annuus (common sunflower). RNAcentral's name for it is "hypothetical non coding rna". Lineage: Eukaryota; Viridiplantae; Streptophyta; Magnoliopsida; Asterales; Asteraceae. The record is from RNAcentral.
UGUGGUUAAUCCAAUGCAUGAGUUAGGAAUGUUCAUUCCCUAAGUGAAUUUCACAUCAAGCACGAAGAAAGAAGAAGGCGCAAGUCACUCGAAGUCACAAGCAUCUCAAGAUCACGAUAAGUUCAUAUGAACUUUAUUUACUCUAUUAGCAGAUUUAUGAAUGAUAAUAUUUGGUACUAUGAAUUAGUGUACAUUUCCAUUAUGGAUCAUGAUUGACUAGACGCAAAGAGCUUAUAUUGUGAAAUGUUCAAAAGAUGAUGUUGUAAUGAAUAUGAAAUGAACCGUCUAAAUGGGUUGGAAUGAUAAGUGAAAUGAUUGUUGGAAUGUUUAGAAAUUGACUUGUUUAUAACGGGUCAAAUGAUGUAAGUAUGUCGAAAUGUAUGGUAUGUAGCAAUUCAUUAUAAAUGAGUCGGAAAGUGGUAUGUUGGAUGUUUCCGAAUGAAAGUAAACAUGUUAGUAAAGUACCAUGCCAUGAUAACGGGUCGAAUAAUGAUAGGUAAUUAAAGGAUUCGAAUUGUUAUGCAUUACGACUAACAAAUGUUUUGUUGUUAUGAAUGAUAGGUAAAUUCCACGUAUAAUUACGGCGCUCUCGGAC